UCAUCUCAGUCGUUUCUCUCUCCCAGCUUGACCUUAGGUUAAUAUUUCAUUUGGGUCAAGAAAAGAAUAUGUAGGAGAGCUAUGUUGCUUUAACAAGAAAAUGGACAAAAAUGGAUAGUUUGCCUCAUUAAAGAACACGCAUGCUCGCAGAAGCCAUUACAAUCCCGUCGUGCAGCAGCCUGUGCUAUUGACCAGCCUAGAAGUCAUUUUUCGACUCAAGGGGAGAAGGGUGGGUUUCUGCUCUUUCCUUGCACCAUCUGAAGGACACGGCAGAAGAUAAAGGAAAAUGGCCAUGAGAUGCUCCAGCGGAGCUGGGUCCAAGGCCUGGCGCUCACCAAAGAUUGCACUACUCUCAGCAUGGUACAGGAAGACAACUGAUGGGACAAUGCAAGCUGGGACAAUCUCCAACCCAAAGGGUAUCUCAGAAAACAGCACUAGGUGAGACCACAGCACAACCCCAGUCAACCUUUAAAUCAGAAAAGGAGCUGGAGGAUGCAAUUCAUUGAUGUAUAGAAAGUUUUAAAAAGUAAAAACUGAAAUACAGAAAACAAAGUUUGCAAUGUGUAAGAAAUAAAGGACUGAAAUUUGUACCUACAACUCAGCCCAGUAGUGGAAUCCUGUUUGACAACGAGGUUUUCUUUGCCUCAGGGAAGCAUAGGGAAGCUAUGGGGGAAGCAAGAGGAGCUCUAGAAUGUGUUUUGUGACUGUCCCCUUUCCUUAAUUUUGGUUCUGUGCGGAAACAAACACAGACUAAGUCUAUGUAUAGCCAUAUCCGCUAUUCACUUGUAAAUGUUCCAAAUAAUUCAGGUAGCCUCUCAGAAGACACUCCAGCAUCACUUAGCUGGAUAUUUCAGGGCAACUCAUGUCAUGUUUGGAAAUAUCCAGAUAAUAUUCUAGUUGUCAUCUAGUUUUUUCCUUCACCAAAAAAAUGCUCAGCUGGACGUGGUGGCUCACGCCUACAAUCCCAGCACUUUGAGAAGCCGAGAUGGGAGGAUUGUUUGAGCCCAUAAGUUUGAGACCAGCCUGGGCAAUAUAGUGAGACUUCAUCUCUACAAAAAAUUUAAUAAUUAUCUCAGCAUAGUGGUGCUUGCCUGUAGUCCCAGCUACUCGGGAGGCUGAGGCGGGAACAUGGCUUGAGCCCAGGAAGUCAAGGCUGCAGUGAGCUGUAAAGGUGCCACUGCACUCCAGCCUGGGCAACAGAGUGAGGUCCUGUCUCAAAAAAAAAAAAAAAAAGAAAAAGAGAGAGAGAGAAAAGAAAAGAAGUGCUCAAAUUAGAAUCUCUGUAUAUACAGUAUUUAUCUAAACAUUCUCAUAUAUGUAAAAUUCCAGGGAUAUUGACAUCAUACAGAACAAGCAUACUUUGCAAAACCAGCAUGCUUCUUCUAUUUAAAGCAAUAUCCCCUGGGUGUGACCUGAGCUUGUAAAACAAGUUCAUUAUAUUUCCUUUCUGGAGACAACAUGUCAAACCUUAAAUAUGGCUACUAAUCAGAAGUUUAAUUAAAAAACUUCAGCCGUACGAUGAAGGAAGUUAUAUUCACCAGGGUUGAGAAUAAAUGGUAAUGUUUUCAAAGUCUGAGAAAAACCUAUAUUACUUGCCUUACUCAUCUACUUUGCUUACUACAAGCCCCUUUUAUCUUAUUUUCAUAUUAUUUAAUUUUCUCCCUGCCUGAAAGUAGCUUUAGUCUGUCUGAAAAAAUAUUAUAAUCCAAAAAAUGGCAAGGAGAAUUCAACAACAACAAAAAUAAUCAAAGCCAUUCAUGGUUCAUGUGCCCAGAUGAAGUUGUAUUUAUGGAACAGUCUUUUUUUCUAGAAGUCCAAUGUGUAAAUUAAGUUGCACCAAGGCAAGUCAAAUUAUUCCCUGGCCGUUUGUAGUAUGCAAUGUUUUAUGUGACUUUUUACCCUCUUAUUCAAUGAAACAAUACGUACUUGUAUAGCAGCCAGACGAAGCAGUGAGUCACAGUCAUCUAAGAGAUGCCAAGUACUGUACCUCCUUGAGGAAACACACUCACCAUGUGUAAUGAGGACUCUCUGGAUUUCCUGAAGUGAUUCAACAUAAAUUGAAUUCAACAUUGAACUGAAUAACCAUAGAUGUUGACAAUCACAAGAUCGGAUGUACUAGAGUACCACUUGUCUUUGUGUAACUCCCACUCAUUUAUUACCAGUUAAGAGAUGCACCCCUAUUAGUUGGAGUGGAACACUGUCACUCAAGCAAAGAGAUUACAGAAUGUAGCCAGUUCCUUGUGGAUAUAAAAUAAUCAAGACUUUUUGAGGAAAUGGUUGUCAGCUUUGGUUUUAUGCUAGAGACCUCCCAUUGAUCUCUUUUCUCAAAUUAUUCAGCUUUUAGCUCAAGAGGGAUGCUAAGCCAGGCUGGCCACCCAGGUAUUUGAUAAUAUAAGUCCUGGUGUCUAUACGAAAAGGAGCUUAUAAAAAUCCACAGCAUGCUAGAUGUCAUACCUACAGAAAUUAUUGCUUUUAAACUCAGGCAGAAUAGGAUAGAUUUGAUAUGAUUGGCAUUAGGGAGCCAAUGUGGGCUUUUGAGUGAGGAAGUAAAGAUUUGAUUGAAAAAUCACGUUGACUCCUAAAUUGUAUAAACACUAAUGCUUAGGGAAAUUCAACUUCUUUGUCCUUUGGAGACAGUAACCAGAAACAGAGAUUUGGGGGAUAUAGGAGUAAAAUGAUAAGAACAGGAGUGGGGGUCAGGGAGAAAGAUACAGUUGCCAAAGCUGUAGUGGACACGACCACUGGAUGGCAAAAAGGGCUUUACAUAUAGCUUGAACCAAGUUCUUUGAAGAAUAAGGCCAUUUGGACUUAGGCAAAAGACCAAUAAUCACCAGAGGACUUGGAUUUAUUAUCCAAACAUCUAGGUCCUUUAAUCACAAAGUGUUUGGAAGGUUGAAAUUUCAACCUAAAUUACAAAAGCAUCACAGCAAGGUUCCACCUGAACUAAAAGUUGGGGAAUCAACUAAAUCCCAAAGAAGAAAGGCUAGAAUGUGCCUCUUGAGUGGCAGGCCACUUCCAAACUGCCCAUUUGAUAGGUUCAAAUGGAAAGCCUCUCUCAAAACUCCAAUUCCGAGAUGACACCUAAUUUACUUUUUAACUUUUAUUCUUUGCCUAGAAUGAAUAAGAAAUAUGAGUGUUCUUUCAUUGUAAUGAUGAAUAUGAUUCCUUGUAUUUACAAGAUUCCUGUUCUGUAAUAAUUUUAAUGAUGUGCAUAUAAGAACCCCCAUGAAUGCUCUAGCACAGUGAUUCUCAAAGUGUGGUCCCUAGACCAUCAGCAAGGUCUUUGGAAACUUGUUAGAAUGCAGUCUCAAGCCCCACCCCAGACUUACUGAAUCAAAAACUUUGAGAGAAGAGUUCAACAGGCUGUAUGUACUUAACAAGCCCUCCAGGUAGGCUCAAGUUUGGUACCUUCUGAGGUAGGCUCAAGGUUGAGAGCCUCUGCUUUUAAAUCACAGUAAGAGCUAUUCAAAAUCAUUAAGGUCAUUAGCUGUGACUUGAGCUCCAAGGUAUAGAAAAAAAAUCAAGCCAGUGGGAAAUUGUUCAAUAACUUUCAAAAUUUUCAAAGCAUAGGUGUCAAAGCCCUAUCUCGUAAAUUUCUUUUACUGAAUUGAUUUAUGUUGUUUAUCUGGAGGGGCAUAAAUUGGUAUUUUUAUUACUACUGGCUCCCUUAUAAAGCA
Molecule: long non-coding RNA, 3677 nt
Filed under: Homo sapiens (human)
Lineage: Eukaryota; Metazoa; Chordata; Mammalia; Primates; Hominidae
Description: HSALNT0190647
Source: RNAcentral